AGCGCGGCGGCGGUCGAGGCCGAAGCCCCGGAGCGGAGGCCCGGCCUGGCCAGGCCGAGGCGGGCGGGCGAGUGGACGGCGAGCAGGAGGCCGCAGAGCGGGAAUUCUGUGGCAAAUUUUAUUUUCUAAAAGAGCUAAGAAGACAUCAUUUUGCAAAAGAGAUGUGUUCCUGAGAAAAGAUACAUGUAAAUUUAACUUUGUAAACUCAAUCUUACUUUGCAUGGUCUCAAUUAUUCACUCUUUAAAUAACAUUUAUGGGAAAUCUUUUUUAAACUGAAGAAUCUUUGUGUAACAAGUAGUAGCCACCUAAGCAAUCAACAAGCAUUUCUUAAGUACUUUCUAUGUGUCAGAUAUUGUGCUAAGUGCUGGGGAGACAAAGAAAGGGAAAAAUGUUUAGUCCAUAAUCUCAAGGGACUCAGUGUAAUGGGACAAACAAAAUAUACACAGGAUAAAUUGGGGGUAGUCUCAGAAGGAAAUCACUGAGAUUAAGAAUUAGGAAAAGCUUUUUGUAGUAGGUGGGAUGUUAGCACAGACCUGAAGGAAGCCAGGUACUUUGCUAAGGAUUAGGGAUAAAAAGAAAGGCAAAAACAAUCCUGUCCUUCAAGGAACUCAUAUUCUAACAGAGAAGAUAACCUGUACAUAAACAGGCAUAGAGACGUUAUACACAGAGAAGAUGGAAGCUAAUUAGAGAAGGGAAGGCAUUAGCAUCUGGAGGGGUUGGGAUAAGGAAAGACUUCCUGUAGAAGGGGAGAUUUGAACCAAAUCUUGAAGGAAGUCGGGGAAAGAGUCAAGAGGUGAGGGAGCAGAUCAUUCCAGUUAUAGGGGAUAGCCAGAGAAAACUCAAAGAGACAGACUAUCUGUCUAGUUCAAGGGACUGAAAAUAGCCCAGUGUAGCUGGAUCUUAAAAUGUGUGGAGGGAAAUCAAUGUACUUUAAAUGACAAAAAGAGCACUUUAUAUUUGAUCCUUAAAAUAGGUAGUCACUGGAGUGCAUUGAGGAGGUGAUAUGGUCAGGCCUACAGCUGAAAACAAGGAUACUUCAUUUGGCUGCCUGAAUCUGUGUUUUGUUUUGUUUUGAAUAUAUUUUUAUAACUAUUUCAGUAUAAUUGUCUUUCUUUUUAGCCCUUUCUACUUUAUUUUAUGCAUUUAAAAACAUUAUCCUGGAUUUAUCAGAUUGCCAAAGAGUCCUUGAAAUAAAAAUAAAAUCUUAAGAACCCUUGAUCUAGAA
RNAcentral lists this long non-coding RNA (1226 nucleotides) under Phascolarctos cinereus (koala). RNAcentral's name for it is "lncRNA (ENSPCIG00000031664.1)". The record is from RNAcentral. Lineage: Eukaryota; Metazoa; Chordata; Mammalia; Diprotodontia; Phascolarctidae.